CCACCUCAUUGGCUGAUCCCAAAGACAGUGGGCGUUACCCAAAGAUAGUUCAGCCAAUGGUGUGAGCUAAUCUUUACCAUAGGCGUUUUUUAGCUCCCAACUCACCCUGGCACUCGAUCCAAGCUAGUAAACAAGUUGAAGCUAAAGCAGAAAACCAUGGCGUCGUCCCUGACGACAGGAGCAGCACCAGUAGCCGCCGCCGAGUGCACGGUGCCCGCUUCCAUCUUCGCCCCGGAUCGGGGCUUCUCCGCCGCCGCCGCAGACGUCCAUGCAUGCGGGGGAGAGAGUUUCGAAGAUCCCGAGGGCACCGACCAUGUUUUGGAUUUGAGCAACAAGAUGGUCUUGGUGAGUCCGACAGGGGAGCAGUACGACGCGCUGCGGCGACACCUACGAGCGCGGCUCGACGAAGGCUGCGGCGAGACCAUUUUUGUCGUGGGGAUGGGCUCGGACGGCGGCGACUACGGUCUGAGCGACCGCGACACAGAGGCGUCGGUAGCCACCGUGCAAUCGCUGUGCGAGCAAGUGGAGGCCGACCUCAUCCUGCUGAGGGAGCGCACGGAGGUGGGCGGCAAGAUCUGCGACUUCCUCAUCCGCCGCCGCGUGGGCGAGCAGGACUUCCUGGAAGUCAGAGUGGCGGUGGUGGGCAACGUGGACGCCGGCAAGAGCACGCUGCUGGGCGUGCUGACCCACGGCGAGCUGGACAACGGUCGAGGCUUCGCGCGCCAGAAGCUCUUUCGGCACAAGCACGAGAUGGAGAGCGGCAGGACCAGCAGCGUGGGCAACGACAUCCUGGGCUUCGACCACGAGGGACAGGUGGUCAACAAGCCCGACAGCCACGGCGGCAGCCUGGACUGGACCGAGAUCUGCGAAAAGUCCUCCAAAGUGGUCACCUUCAUCGACCUGGCGGGCCACGAGAAGUACCUGAAGACCACCGUCUUCGGCAUGACCGGACACCUGCCCGACUUCUGCAUGCUCAUGGUGGGCAGCAACGCCGGCAUCGUGGGCAUGACCAAGGAGCACCUGGGUCUGGCGCUAGCGUUAAACGUGCCCGUGUUUGCCGUGGUCACCAAGAUCGACAUGUGUCCGGCCAACAUACUGCAAGAAACCCUGAAAUUACUCCAGCGGCUAUUAAAAUCUCCCGGCUGCAGAAAGAUUCCCGUGUUGGUGCAGAACAAGGACGACGUCAUCGUCACGGCGUCCAACUUCAGCUCGGAGAGGAUGUGUCCCAUCUUCCAGAUCUCCAACGUGACGGGCCAGAACAUCGACCUCCUGAAGAUGUUCCUCAACCUGCUCUCGCCCAGGACCGCCUUUAACGACGACGAGCCCGCCGAGUUCCAAAUCGAUGACACGUAUUCCGUACCGGGCGUGGGCACGGUGGUGUCGGGCACGACGUUACGCGGCGUGAUCCGACUCAACGACACGCUUCUCCUGGGUCCCGACCCGCUGGGCGUUUUCCUCCCUAUCGCCGUCAAGUCCAUCCACCGCAAGAGAAUGCCUGUCAAGGAGGUGCGCGGCGGGCAGACGGCCUCCUUUGCGCUCAAGAAGAUCAAGCGCUCGUCCAUACGCAAGGGCAUGGUGAUGGUGUCCCCCAAACUGAUGCCGCAGGCCACUUGGGAAUUUGAGGCGGAGAUCCUGGUGCUGCACCACCCCACCACCAUAUCCCCGCGCUACCAGGCCAUGGUCCACUGCGGCAGCAUCCGUCAGACCGCCACCAUCUUAAGCAUGAGCAAGGACUGCCUGCGGACCGGCGACAAGGCGGCCGUCCACUUCCGCUUCAUCAAGACGCCCGAGUACCUGCACUGCGAGCACAAGCUGGUGUUCCGGGAGGGCCGCACCAAAGCCGUGGGCACCAUCACCAAGCUCCUGCAGUCGGUCAACACGCAGGCGGCUAAGGCGCAGCAGGCCAAGAUGCUGGCCGGCAAGAAAAUGCACAAGGACGGCACGGAGGAAACGCGGCCACCCAGUCCUGGCGCCGCGCUUCCGCUCAAAUCAGGAGGCGGAGGACGACGGCGGGGUGGCCAGCGGCACCGAGAGAAAGGAGGCGACAACGUGCUGGCGACGACAGCGCCCGUGUGCGCCGCCGCCAUGACGGCGCCGGCGGCCCUCGUUUAGACGCAGAUACGCAGCAGCAUCACUCGUCCAACACAGCCAAAGUCAACGCAAGAAAUCACCAGCAAAGUACUUCUUCUGCCAAAAUACGCAUCAAACGUAGUUGUACUACGUUCAUUUUGUCUUCACUUGUCGAUUCUUUUAUCACAGACAAAUGAUUGAGGUUGAAUUCCCUGACAUGUUUCGGCGUGUACUUCAUCCAUCGGCCGAUCAAGACGCAUCACAACUACUACACCAGCGACACCGAUGGAGGUACACAUGUCAGGUCCAUUAAGGCUGACGCUGGACGACAGGGAACCGUUUGACCCGGAGCGAGGAGUUCUUCGGCGAGGCGCCGGCCGUCUGAGGGUGGGGAGGGGGCGAAAGGGCCCGGCGGGUCCAACGCUAAUUGGUUAGCUUGGAGCGGCGCGACACGGCUCCCUGCUAGCAGACAGCUGGUGGGUGGACGCUGAAGACCAAUUAGAGAAACACAGAGUAACCAUCGGAGAAGCCAGAGAAGGCGUUUGUGCCUCGACGCGAGUGUGACAGGUUGCUUGAAAACGCCAGACGAGACGAAAACAAGACGACAGAUCAACGGUUAUCUGACAAAGCCAUGUGGAAUGGAUGGACUUUUGUGAAAGCCGGCAAAGCUGUCAUGACGAAUCGCAAGCCUUCUUACGGCAAAGAGAGCAGCGUCACCGUGGCAACAGCCUCAGCAUCCUCACGGCAAAAAAGACAAAAGGUGGCAUAAUUGGAACGAUUGUUCCCGUGCAGUUUUGAAGGCUUCUAUUCUUUCGCCUACCGUCGCCCUCAUAAGGCGUUUUGUGGACUCGCUAAUUAAAGCUUCAAACAAACGACAAAUGGGACAAAAGCAGACAAA
RNA transcript from Syngnathus typhle (broad-nosed pipefish), 2968 nucleotides. It is a transcript of the gene named GTP-binding protein 1-like, with no coding region annotated. The transcript has 16 exons. Lineage: Eukaryota; Metazoa; Chordata; Actinopteri; Syngnathiformes; Syngnathidae. The record is from RefSeq and is a predicted model, not a curated record.